CAAUCCAGUAGGGAGCUGUGUGC
This 23-nucleotide non-coding RNA is filed under the name Rattus norvegicus (Norway rat). Lineage: Eukaryota; Metazoa; Chordata; Mammalia; Rodentia; Muridae. The record is from RNAcentral.